AUUGAACGCUGGCGGCAUGCCUUACACAUGCAAGUCGAACGGCAGCACGGGUGCUUGCACCUGGUGGCGAGUGGCGAACGGGUGAGUAAUACAUCGGAACGUACCUUAUCGUGGGGGAUAACGCAGCGAAAGCUGUGCUAAUACCUCAUACGCCCUGAGGGGGAAAGCGGGGGAUCGAAAGACCUCGCGCGAUUAGAGCGGCCGAUGCCUGAUUAGCUUGUUGGUGGGGUAAAAGCCCACCAAGGCGACGAUCAGUAGCUGGUCUGAGAGGACGAUCAGCCACACUGGGACUGAGACACGGCCCAGACUCCUACGGGAGGCAGCAGUGGGGAAUUUUGGACAAUGGGGGCAACCCUGAUCCAGCAAUGCCGCGUGAGUGAAGAAGGUCUUCGGGUUGUAAAGCUCUUUUGUCAGGGAAGAAACACCGGCUCUAACACAGCCCGGGAAUGACGGUACCUGAAGAAUAAGCACCGGCUAACUACGUGCCAGCAGCCGCCGCGG
Molecule: ribosomal RNA, 501 nt
Filed under: uncultured bacterium
Lineage: Bacteria
Description: partial 16S ribosomal RNA
Rfam family: Bacterial small subunit ribosomal RNA
Source: RNAcentral